Molecule: ribosomal RNA, 253 nt
Filed under: uncultured bacterium
Lineage: Bacteria
Description: partial 16S ribosomal RNA
Rfam family: Bacterial small subunit ribosomal RNA
Source: RNAcentral
UACGAAGGGUGCAAGCGUUACUCGGAAUUACUGGGCGUAAAGCGCGCGUAGGCGGUUCGUUAAGUCUGUCGUGAAAGCCCUGGGCUCAACCUGGGAAUUGCGAUGGAUACUGGCGAGCUAGAGUACGCUAGAGGAUGGUGGAAUUCCCGGUGUAGCGGUGAAAUGCGUAGAGAUCGGGAGGAACACCCGUGGCGAAGGCGGCCAUCUGGACCAGUACUGACGCUGAGGCACGAAAGCGUGGGGAGCAAACAGG